Molecule: transfer RNA, 83 nt
Filed under: archaeon
Lineage: Archaea
Description: tRNA-Ser
Rfam family: tRNA
About the family: Transfer RNA (tRNA) molecules are approximately 80 nucleotides in length. Their secondary structure includes four short double-helical elements and three loops (D, anti-codon, and T loops).
Source: RNAcentral
GCCGAGAUCGCGUAAUCUGGUAUCGCGCAAGCCUGGAAAGCUUGUUUCCUUUGGAUAUCUGGGUUCGAAUCCCAGUCUCGGCG